UAUAUUUCAAAAGAAAUACUAUACAUGUGUUGUUUUACAUGGUCAAGGCACGUUAAUAUAUUUUCUCAUGAGUAGGAACUGCUAAUCUGAUUCUUUGCCACAAUUCUAGGAGACUACAACGUUCCAAUUAUGCUUGACCAUGUAUAUAUAUAUACACACAUAUCAGUGAGCAUAAAAGAUACAGAAAAAUACUGAUGCGUGAAACCAACUCUUAAAAACCAGUUUUAUUAUUUCUUUCCCUCACAUAUUG
Molecule: long non-coding RNA, 250 nt
Filed under: Trifolium pratense (red clover)
Lineage: Eukaryota; Viridiplantae; Streptophyta; Magnoliopsida; Fabales; Fabaceae
Description: long non-coding RNA (TPRA_LNC009216)
Source: RNAcentral